This 240-nucleotide long non-coding RNA is filed under the name Homo sapiens (human). RNAcentral describes it as "HSALNT0301798". The record is from RNAcentral. Lineage: Eukaryota; Metazoa; Chordata; Mammalia; Primates; Hominidae.
CUGCCUGUGAUGAGAAAGAUCAAAGCAUGCAUACAAUUAUAAAUCAUGACACAGAGGCAACAUGCAAUUAUUUAGAAAUCUGGAAAAAAGAAGCACAAACUAAGAGAUUAAAAUCAUCUACAAUUCCAUCAUGCAGAGGAAACUACAGGGGCUUUGGAACUGCACAUAGAAAAACUAUGACUUCCUCAGGAUACAAAAUCAAUGUGCAAAAAUCCCAAGCAUUCCUAUACACCAGCAAUA